Molecule: ribosomal RNA, 1307 nt
Filed under: Ancyrona sp. G0166
Lineage: Eukaryota; Metazoa; Arthropoda; Insecta; Coleoptera; Lophocateridae
Description: SSU rRNA
Rfam family: Eukaryotic small subunit ribosomal RNA
Source: RNAcentral
UUGUCUCAAAGAUUAAGCCAUGCAUGUCUCAGUACAAGCCAUAUUAAGGUGAAACCGCGAAAGGCUCAUUAAAUCAGUUAUGGUUCCUUAGAUCGUACCCACUUUUACUUGGAUAACUGUGGUAAUUCUAGAGCUAAUACAUGCAAAUAGAGCUCCGACCGGAUGACGGGAGGAGCGCUUUUAUUAGAUCAAAACCAAUCGGUGGCGGGUUCGCCCGACAUCGUACAACUUGGUGACUCUGAAUAACUUUAAGCUGAUCGCACGGUCUCGCACCGGCGACGCAUCUUUCAAAUGUCUGCCUUAUCAACUGUCGAUGGUAGGUUCUGCGCCUACCAUGGUUGUAACGGGUAACGGGGAAUCAGGGUUCGAUUCCGGAGAGGGAGCCUGAGAAACGGCUACCACAUCCAAGGAAGGCAGCAGGCGCGCAAAUUACCCACUCCCGGCACGGGGAGGUAGUGACGAAAAAUAACGAUACGGGACUCAUCCGAGGCCCCGUAAUCGGAAUGAGUACACUCUAAACCCUUUAACGAGGAUCAAUUGGAGGGCAAGUCUGGUGCCAGCAGCCGCGGUAAUUCCAGCUCCAAUAGCGUAUAUUAAAGUUGUUGCGGUUAAAAAGCUCGUAGUCGAAUUUGUGUCCCGCGCCGCCGGUUCAUCGUCCGCGGUGCCAACUGGCGUGUCGCGGAAUGUCCUGCCGGUGGGCUUAGCGCGCAAGUGCGGCCCAAUCAAUCCUGCCACGGUGCUCUUCACUGAGUGUCGAGGUGGGCCGGCACGUUUACUUUGAACAAAUUAGAGUGCUUAAAGCAGGCUAAAACUUCGCCUGAAUACUGUGUGCAUGGAAUAAUGGAAUAGGACCUCGGUUCUAUUUUGUUGGUUUUCGGAACUCCGAGGUAAUGAUUAAUAGGAACGGAUGGGGGCAUUCGUAUUGCGACGUUANNNNUGAAAUUCUUGNNGCCGUCGCAAGACGGACAGAAGCGAAAGCAUUUGCCAAAAACGCUUUCAUUGAUCAAGAACGAAAGUUAGAGGUUCGAAGGCGAUCAGAUACCGCCCUAGUUCUAACCAUAAACGAUGCCAGCUAGCGAUCCGCCGACGUUCCUCCGAUGACUCGGCGGGCAGCUUCCGGGAAACCAAAGCUUUUGGGUUCCGGGGGAAGUAUGGUUGCAAAGCUGAAACUUAAAGGAAUUGACGGAAGGGCACCACCAGGAGUGGAGCCUGCGGCUUAAUUUGACUCAACACGGGAAACCUCACCAGGCCCGGACACCGGAAGGAUUGACAGAUUGAGAGCUCUUUCNUGAUUCGGUGGGUGGUGG